RNAcentral lists this ribosomal RNA (463 nucleotides) under uncultured bacterium. RNAcentral's name for it is "partial 16S ribosomal RNA". It matches the Rfam family "Bacterial small subunit ribosomal RNA", at positions 28 to 507 of the family's 1533-position model. The record is from RNAcentral.
GAUGAACGCUGACAGAAUGCUUAACACAUGCAAGUCUUUGGCGAAUCUGUGCUUGCACCGGCUAGCAAAGGCGGACGGGUGAGUAACGCGUAAAGAACUUGCCCUGCAGACAGGGAUAACAGACGGAAACGACUGAUAACACCUGAUACAGUUGCCGGCACGCAUGUGCCUGGCAAUGAAAAGAGAUGCUGCAGGAGAGCUUUGCGUCCUAUUAGCUUGUUGGUGAGGUGACGGCUCACCAAGGCGAUGAUAGGUAGCCGGCCUGAGAGGGUGAACGGCCACAAGGGGACUGAGAUGCGGCCCUUACUCCUACGGCAGGCAGCAGUGGGGAAUAUUGGACAAUGGGGGCAACCCUGAUCCAGCAAUUCGGUGUGCACGAAGAAGGUUUUCGGAUUGUAAAGUGCUUUCAGCAGGGAAGAAGAAAGUGACGGUACCUGCAGAAGAAGCGACGGCUAAAUACGUG